RNAcentral lists this ribosomal RNA (354 nucleotides) under uncultured Glomus. RNAcentral's name for it is "eukaryotic LSU rRNA". Lineage: Eukaryota; Fungi; Glomeromycota; Glomeromycetes; Glomerales; Glomeraceae. The record is from RNAcentral.
UGAAGUUAGCAAAGGGAAAGUUCAGUCGUACCAGCGGGAAAUCAACCUUUCGAGUGGGGUUUUGGAGUUUUGAAGAGUGUCAAAACCUUUGAGAUUUCAAAAUGCUCGCUCCUUUGGUGUACUUUCUCGUAGGUAGGUUAACAUCGAUUUCGAUUCAUCAUAAAAGGAUUGGAGGAAUGUAGCUUCGAUCUUGUAUUGAAGUGUUAUAGCCUUUGGUAAAUGUGAUGAUUGGGGUCGAGGAUUGCAACGAAUACCCUUCUGGGCUAUCCGCCUGAUCUCUGAUACGUGGCCUUGGCAUCGAAAGCUUGCUUAUGAUGUUAGGGUAUUACGGUCAAAAGGUUAGAACGAAUUACA